Molecule: long non-coding RNA, 669 nt
Organism: Brienomyrus brachyistius
Lineage: Eukaryota; Metazoa; Chordata; Actinopteri; Osteoglossiformes; Mormyridae
Exons: 3
Source: RefSeq, a predicted model, not a curated record
UGAUAGUGCAAAUCAGUAACACUGACACUGUCUCCAUCCACACCCGUCACCUCCUGUUUGUCCACUGACAGCCCUGGAGGUCUUCAACACACAGUCCGCAGUACAGACAUCUUACCAUCAGUGACUGACAGAUUAACCUGAUCAGAGAGGCUCCACUGUACUUCACACCACACCAGUACCGAUCGGAAUCCUCAGCUGUCAGAUUGUUGAUGGUCACAGUGAAGACUCGCUGGUCAGGAUCAUCUCUGACUCACACUUUACCCUCCUGUGGAGAGUCAGUGUGUACUAUGGGAGUACAUGACUUCACAUUAUACCCUCUGCACCAGUACGGGACUCCACUCCAACAACCGCUGCAAAAACCGCGCCUCCCUGAGAGCCAUCACCCAUCAGCUCAUCAGCCACUGCAACCAACUGCAAAGACCUCCCUCUUUCCUGCAUCCAAGUAAACCAACUUCCUUUCCUUUCUAACAACCUAAACUGUCCUUUUCACCUGCUAUAUUUCUUUAGGUUUAUAUUCCUACAAACUGCUUGCUUUGCAGAACAGUUUUUCCCUUUUUAGGUUAAUCAUUUUAAAUCUGGUCACUGCAUUUUCAUGAUUACAUCGUUUGUGUCUUUUCCGUUAUUUCAUGUUUAUUGUUUGUUAGGUAUAAUGUCUGUCUUAUGUUAGUU